Molecule: unclassified non-coding RNA, 261 nt
Filed under: uncultured fungus
Lineage: Eukaryota; Fungi
Description: sequence contains ITS2
Rfam family: 5.8S ribosomal RNA (bases 1-52)
Source: RNAcentral
AACGCACAUUGCGCCCGCCAGUAUUCUGGCGGGCAUGCCUGUCCGAGCGUCAUUUCAACCCUCGAACCCCUCCGGGGGGUCGGCGUUGGGGAUCGGCCCUUCACGGGGCCGGCCCCGAAAUACAGUGGCGGUCUCGCCGCAGCCUCUCCUGCGCAGUAGUUUGCACACUCGCAUCGGGAGCGCGGCGCGUCCAUUGCCGUAAAACACCCAACUUUCUGAAAUGUUGACCUCGGAUCAGGUAGGAAUACCCGCUGAACUUAA